RNAcentral lists this transfer RNA (72 nucleotides) under Sus scrofa (pig). It matches the Rfam family "tRNA". From Rfam's summary of the family: Transfer RNA (tRNA) molecules are approximately 80 nucleotides in length. Their secondary structure includes four short double-helical elements and three loops (D, anti-codon, and T loops). Further hydrogen bonds mediate the characteristic L-shaped molecular structure. tRNAs have two regions of fundamental functional importance: the anti-codon, which is responsible for specific mRNA codon recognition, and the 3' end, to which the tRNAs corresponding amino acid is attached (by aminoacyl-tRNA synthetases). tRNAs cope with the degeneracy of the genetic code in two manners: having more than one tRNA (with a specific anti-codon) for a particular amino acid; and 'wobble' base-pairing, i.e. permitting non-standard base-pairing at the 3rd anti-codon position. The record is from Rfam by way of RNAcentral. Lineage: Eukaryota; Metazoa; Chordata; Mammalia; Artiodactyla; Suidae.
UCCCUGGUGGCCUAGUGGUUAGGACUCAGCACUUUCACUGCUGCAGUGCAGGUUUAAUCCCUGGUCUGGGAA